CGAAAAACUCUAGGGGUCCCUAUCCUACAACCCUGAUACUAGACCUCCAGAUUUUUCUAUCAAGGGUCAUGUCCUCGGAAACCCGCAUUGUAGCCAUGUCAUUCCUAAUCACCUCUCCCAAUACCUCUUAGGUCUCCCUCUGCCUCGCCGAACGCCGAUCAUCGCCAGCCGUUCACAACUCCUCACCGGGGCAUCAGGACUUCUCCUCUGCA
This 212-nucleotide long non-coding RNA is filed under the name Nicotiana benthamiana. Its description in RNAcentral is "long non-coding RNA (NBEN_LNC008977)". Lineage: Eukaryota; Viridiplantae; Streptophyta; Magnoliopsida; Solanales; Solanaceae. The record is from RNAcentral.